UACGGAGGGUGCGAGCGUUAAUCGGAAUUACUGGGCGUAAAGGGUGCGUAGGCGGUUUAUUAAGUUACUUGUGAAAUCCCUCGGCUUAACCGGGGAACUGCGUCUGAUACUGGAUGGCUUGAGUUUGGGAGAGGGAUGCGGAAUUCCAGGUGUAGCGGUGAAAUGCGUAGAUAUCUGGAGGAACACCGGUGGCGAAGGCGGCAUCCUGGACCAACACUGACACUGAGGAGCGAAAGCCAGGGGAGCAAACGGG
This 253-nucleotide ribosomal RNA is filed under the name uncultured bacterium. Its description in RNAcentral is "partial 16S ribosomal RNA". It matches the Rfam family "Bacterial small subunit ribosomal RNA", at positions 524 to 776 of the family's 1533-position model. The record is from RNAcentral.